This 250-nucleotide ribosomal RNA is filed under the name uncultured Bifidobacteriaceae bacterium. Its description in RNAcentral is "partial 16S ribosomal RNA". It matches the Rfam family "Bacterial small subunit ribosomal RNA", at positions 88 to 339 of the family's 1533-position model. Lineage: Bacteria; Bacillati; Actinomycetota; Actinomycetes; Bifidobacteriales; Bifidobacteriaceae. The record is from RNAcentral.
CGGGAGAGUGGCGAACGGGUGAGUAAUGCGUGACCGACCUGCCCCGUACACCGGAAUAGCUCCUGGAAACGGGUGGUAAUGCCGGAUGCUCCAGUCCAUCGCAUGGUGGUCUGGGAAAGAUUUUAUCGGUAUGGGAUGGGGUCGCGUCCUAUCAGGUAGUCGGCGGGGUAACGGCCCACCGAGCCUACGACGGGUAGCCGGCCUGAGAGGGCGACCGGCCACAUUGGGACUGAGAUACGGCCCAGACUCC